Molecule: ribosomal RNA, 462 nt
Filed under: uncultured bacterium
Lineage: Bacteria
Description: partial 16S ribosomal RNA
Rfam family: Bacterial small subunit ribosomal RNA
Source: RNAcentral
GACGAACGCUGGCGGCGUGCUUAACACAUGCAAGUCGAGCGGAAAGGCCCUUCGGGGUACUCGAGCGGCGAAAGGGUGAGUAACACGUGAGUAACCUGCCCCAGACUUUGGGAUAACCCUCGGAAACGGGGGCUAAUACAGGAUACGACACAGCUUCGCAUGGGGUCUGUGUGGAAAGUUUUUCGGUUUGGGAUGGGCUCGCGGCCUAUCAGCUGGUUGGUGGGGUGAUGGCGUACCAAGGCGACGACGGGUAGCCGGCCUGAGAGGGGGACCGGCCACACGGGGACUGGGACACGGCCCGGACUCCUACGGGAGGCAGCGGUGGGGAAUAUUGCACAAUGGGCGGAAGCCGGAUGCAGCGACGCCGCGUGGGGGAUGACGGCCUUCGGGUUGUAAACCUCUUUCAGCGGGGACGAAGCGGAAGUGACGGUACCUGCAGAAGAAGCGCCGGCCAACUACGUG